RNAcentral lists this ribosomal RNA (274 nucleotides) under uncultured bacterium. RNAcentral's name for it is "partial 16S ribosomal RNA". It matches the Rfam family "Bacterial small subunit ribosomal RNA", at positions 523 to 796 of the family's 1533-position model. The record is from RNAcentral.
AUACGGAGGGUGCAAGCGUUAUCCGGAAUCAUUGGGUUUAAAGGGUCCGCAGGCGGACUAAUAAGUCAGUGGUGAAAUCCUCUCGCUUAACGAGAGAACUGCCGUUGAAACUGUUAGUCUUGAAUUCGGUCGAAGUAGGCGGAAUGUGUCAUGUAGCGGUGAAAUGCAUAGAUAUGACACAGAACACCGAUAGCGAAGGCAGCUUACUAGACCUGGAUUGACGCUCAUGGACGAAAGCGUGGGGAGCGAACAGGAUUAGAAACCCUAGUAGUCC